UUGAGGGGUGUUACUUGUUUCU
This 22-nucleotide non-coding RNA is filed under the name Arabidopsis thaliana (thale cress). The record is from RNAcentral. Lineage: Eukaryota; Viridiplantae; Streptophyta; Magnoliopsida; Brassicales; Brassicaceae.